This 215-nucleotide unclassified non-coding RNA is filed under the name Phylloporus sp. RNAcentral describes it as "partial contains small subunit ribosomal RNA, internal transcribed spacer 1, and 5.8S ribosomal RNA". The stretch from base 1 to 46 matches the Rfam family "Eukaryotic small subunit ribosomal RNA", at positions 1786 to 1831 of the family's 1831-position model. The record is from RNAcentral. Lineage: Eukaryota; Fungi; Basidiomycota; Agaricomycetes; Boletales; Boletaceae.
AAGUCGUAACAAGGUUUCCGUAGGUGAACCUGCGGAAGGAUCAUUAAUAAUUAAAUUUUGGCUGGUUUCUUGGAACUGGUUGAAUAUCUUGUGAACUGGGAGGUCUCCAUUUUUGGGUUUUUGGUAAGGGGAUUUCUGAUUUUUGUACUCUAGUGAUUAUUUUCUAUAUAAAGAAAUAAAAAUGACAACUUUCAGCAAUGGAUCUCUUGGCUCUU